CCUAAGAGUUACCCGAAGCUCGGCAUCCGCGAUUGUCUAAGGGGCCUCCGAGACGUUCGGGCAGCGUCAGUCUUCAGCCGCCAAGCCGAGGAGAUCUGGGAAGGAGUCGGUGGGGAGCUUUGGGUUUGAGCUCCAGGAGCUCCGGAAGUGGCGAUGAGAGUCGGGCAGUCAGACUUCCAGUGAGGGCCCGCACAGGCGGGGCAUGGCUUAGGAGGAAUCCCAGGCUGCAGGCAUUCCUUGGCCCAGUGGCCAGGUUUUCAUCGCUUGAAGCAAAGUCCCAGAGGGGCUGUUGGAUGUUGCGUUUAGAUGCCUUGAAGUUCUUGCAGGUAGGCAGUGCAGCUGGGGUUUGUCUUAUGGCGGAGGCAAGCAUCUGUAGUUCUGAAAUGCGCUGUCGCCGGGCAGUCUCUUCCCUAUUAUUGAACACCUUGAAGGCGAGGUUGAUUAAUUCCUGUUGUGGGAUCUGAGAGCCAGACUCUAAUUUUUGAAGUUUCUUUCUACUGUCAGAAACUGACUGGGUAAUAAAAUGCAUGUUAAGAAUAAGGCGGCCUUCUAUCCCUUCAGGGUCUAGUGCUGUAUAUCGCCUGAGGGUGGCAGGUAGACAGGCCAUAAACUGAGCUGGAUUUUUAUCUUUGUUCUGAGUGGUUUUUUUUGUUUUUGUUUUUGUUUUUUAGUUUGUCAUAAUUGACGGCUUUAUAUGCAGCCUUCUGAAGCCCUUUAACUAGGCAAGAGAUCAUGUAGUCCCGCCUGGCUAUGCCUGGGUCCCAGGGCCUGGUAAGUCCAUCCGGGGUCUUCACAGGGUACUGCCCUAGCACCUUACUGGAGGCCAGGCUUACGGCACCGGCGGUUAUCAGCCUAAGAUUGAGCUAGGAUCCAAACCCACUCUCACUCCUCAGGAGCGAGGGUAGAGGUAAGGAUGACAUUUAAGUCAUUCCAAGUAAGAUUAUAGGACUGGGUUAAGUAUUGGAAUUCUCGUAUAUAUUUGGUGGGGUCAGAUGGGAAAGAGCCUAGAUGUUCACUAAUUUGGGAAAGGUCGAACAGGGAGAAAGGGACCUGAACCCGAACUAUUCCUUUGGUUCCUGCCACCUCUCCGAGGGGAAAUUGCUAGGCAGGGGCCUGGGGGUUGGUCGCAGGCCCAAACUGUAAGCCAUAGAGGAUGUGAGGAAGGGUGGUAAUGGGAGGGGCAUAAGAGGGUGGAUUGUGGGUAGAAAUAGGUUCUGGGGGAGAAUUAGAAGCAGGUUCGGAUAGGUGGUGGGGGAGAAAGAUCGGAGGGGUCAACAGACAAAGAGGAGUCAGCAUCGCCAGUGGAAGAAGGAGGGGUAGACAGAAGGGAAAUAAGGAAAAUUGGGGAUGGAUUACAUUGGAAGCAUAGGCUAGGGAGAGAUCGUAUGUAAAAAAUGCCUGGAAGUAGGGUACCUCAGACCCAUUUGCCCAUUUUUCCAUAGAAGUUGUCUAAGUCCCACAAAAUAGAGAAAUUGGAAGUGCUGUUUUCUGGCCACUGAGCGCCAUUUUCUAAUUUAUACUGGGGCCAGGACGUGUUACAGAAAAAAAUUAGACGUUUAGCCUUUAGAUUGGGUGCAAGGUGAAGAGGUUUGAGGUUUCUGAGGACACAAGCCAGACAGAAGAAAGAGGGAUGGAAGGCGGGAAAUUGCCCAUGAUAGAACAAGGAAAGACUGGGGGGAAAGAAAGAGACAAGGAAAAGAGCAACCACUAGGAUCCUCAGUGGGCGUCCCCAUUGGAGGUCCUGGGUUGUGUGGCUGGCAAAUGGCCAAGGCGGGCGUCCCGGGCAUUGACCGAACACUGAAGGAAGGCUGUCUCCCCAAGAAGAGUCCGUGACCGGUGUUGGAUUUCUGAAACACGGAUAAGAGGAAGGUUCUUUGUCUCAAUUUUGAAAAGAGAAAAAGAGAGGGAGAGAUGAGGAGAGACCGAGGUCCUGAGGGCGAGGGAAGUCUCUUGCAUGGGAGAACGUGGGUACCGGGAGGAUAGAGGAGAGGUCUGCCGGAGGAGUUCCCCUAUCCCGGGCUUUCGGCACCAAAUGUUAUGCGAGCAUCUAAUUGAAGAGACAACUUGAACAGGCUAAGUGUGAGCAACAAAGGCUGUUUAUUCACCCGGGUGCGAGUGGGCUGAGUGCGAAGGAAGUCAGUGGAGGGUGGUGGGU
Molecule: long non-coding RNA, 2155 nt
Filed under: Homo sapiens (human)
Lineage: Eukaryota; Metazoa; Chordata; Mammalia; Primates; Hominidae
Description: HSALNT0334930
Source: RNAcentral